This 99-nucleotide small nuclear RNA is filed under the name Myotis davidii. Lineage: Eukaryota; Metazoa; Chordata; Mammalia; Chiroptera; Vespertilionidae. The record is from RNAcentral.
UUACUUCAGCAGUACAUAUAAUAAAUUGGAAUGAUACAAAGAUUAGCAUGGCACCUGCGCAAGGAUGACAGACAAAUUCCUGAAACAUCUCAUAUUUUU